CAGAAAGGUUUUUGCAGAUUUUGUUUUUCUUUUUUUCCUUUAGUCAAAUGAAAGGGAAAAGGACAAAGGGAGUGGAUAUGAUGGGAUUGAAUUGCCAGGGACAUAAUCAUGGAAAGUGAAUGAAAAUAAAAAGGGGGUAGAGAGAGAGAGAUGAGAUGGGAACGAAGAAGAGGCAAAAGACUGGGAAUGGUGGGGAGCCCAUGAGACGUUUCCAAGAAAGGGAAAACGAAUCUCAACUCUAGAUUUUUUCCCAACCCCACCCUCUGCGCCCUAUAAUCUACAUGCCUCUUUGUUCUUUGUUCUUUUUAUAUUAUUAUAUUUAUAUUUAUAUGGUACCACUCUUCAUUGUCACAAACAAUUAUUCAGCCUUUGUUUUUCGUCAUUCAAUCACCCCAGGAUUGUUACACAGUGACUCUCAUAAAAAGUCUGAUUCAUAGCAUGAGCACUCAAGAUUUAUCAGAGCAACAAAAUGGCUCAGAGAGGGACAUUGAGGAGGAAGAGACAUUGCUCUUGGACCUCAAUUAUCCACCUCCCAGUGACAAUGUAGCUCUGGAGAGCACCUUUACUAGUUCUAGUCCUCUAGAAUUGUAUGCCAAAGAUCAAAGGUGGUCUAAUCCUCAAGCUACAAAUAAUGUUGAUGCGAGUGAUGAUGAUGUUGUUAUUUUAUCCUCUCCAAGGAGUUUCCUUGAGGCCAGAAAGAAUUCCAGGAGGAAUGCUGAGGUGAUAAUGGUGAAUGAUGAUGAUAUAGAAAUGCCAGGGCACCUAGGUAUUGUUUUUGAUGAUAUAGAAAUGCAAGGACACCAAGAGAUUGCUCAACAGAACAAAAUAGAUACCGAUUUGAAGCUAUGCUUGGAACUCUUCAACAAAACUGAGGUCUGCCCCUACUGAAAAUGUUCAAAUACCUACAGAAGUGCCCUCACCAGAGACACCCACCUUCACUUGCCCAAUUUGCAUGGAUCAAUUGACUGAAGAGACAUCAACAAAGUGUGGUCACAUCUUCUGUAAGGAGUGCAUUGAAGGUGCAAUGGCAGUCAGUCAAAGGUGCCCUACUUGCCGGAAAAAACUUAAAAAGAAAGACAUCAUCAGGGUCUACCUUCCAGGCAAGAAAUAAAAUGAAGCCAAUACCCUGUCAUAAUAAGUGUUUUCAUGGUUCAUUUUAGCAUUCAUCUUCCAGUUCUAUGCUUCAUGGUGGGGAGGAGGAAAUGGCAUUUUGGGGGCUUCAGUAUGUGAGAUAUCUUGAUAUUUUUCACCUUUUUGUGAAGUGGUUGGUGGGUCAGAUUGUGUAGGAUGUAUAGAGCCCAGCUUAUCUGGUUUCUUCAAUUGCAAGCUUAGCAUUUCACCAUAAACAUGGUUUCUCCUUUCCAACCUUUACGGCCUUUUUUUUUUCUUUCUUUUCUCUUUUUAUUGGUAUUUGUUGGGAAACGUUUGCUGAUCCCCAAAACACUAAUCCUUUGUAGAGCAAUCUUGUGCAAACAGAAGUGAAAUGAACAGGAUUUGACCUAUGAAA
Molecule: RNA transcript, 1507 nt
Organism: Vitis riparia (riverbank grape)
Lineage: Eukaryota; Viridiplantae; Streptophyta; Magnoliopsida; Vitales; Vitaceae
Gene name: E3 ubiquitin-protein ligase RNF4-like
Exons: 6
Source: RefSeq, a predicted model, not a curated record